RNAcentral lists this ribosomal RNA (732 nucleotides) under uncultured bacterium. RNAcentral describes it as "bacterial SSU rRNA". It matches the Rfam family "Bacterial small subunit ribosomal RNA", at positions 786 to 1518 of the family's 1533-position model. The record is from RNAcentral.
CCUGGUAGUCCACGCUGUAAACGAUGUCGAUUUGAAGGUUGUUCCCUAGAGGAGUGGCUUUCGGAGCUAACGCGUUAAAUCGACCGCCUGGGGAGUACGGCCGCAAGGUUAAAACUCAAAUGAAUUGACGGGGGCCCGCACAAGCGGUGGAGCAUGUGGUUUAAUUCGAUGCAACGCGAAGAACCUUACCUACUCUUGACAUCCAGAGAAUCUAGCAGAGAUGCUUUAGUGCCUUCGGGAACUCUGAGACAGGUGCUGCAUGGCUGUCGUCAGCUCGUGUUGUGAAAUGUUGGGUUAAGUCCCGCAACGAGCGCAACCCUUAUCCUUUGUUGCCAGCGAUUCGGUCGGGAACUCAAAGGAGACUGCCGGUGAUAAACCGGAGGAAGGUGGGGAUGACGUCAAGUCAUCAUGGCCCUUACGAGUAGGGCUACACACGUGCUACAAUGGCGUAUACAAAGAGAAGCGACCUCGCGAGAGCAAGCGGAACUCAUAAAGUACGUCGUAGUCCGGAUUGGAGUCUGCAACUCGACUCCAUGAAGUCGGAAUCGCUAGUAAUCGUAGAUCAGAAUGCUACGGUGAAUACGUUCCCGGGCCUUGUACACACCGCCCGUCACACCAUGGGAGUGGGUUGCAAAAGAAGUAGGUAGCUUAACCUUCGGGAGGGCGCUUACCACUUUGUGAUUCAUGACUGGGGUGAAGUCGUAACAAGGUAACCAAGGGCGAAUUCGCGGC